UGGACUGUGUCCUUCGCGGACACACCCACGCACACCCUUUUGUGAACUUAUACCUUUAUAUCGUUGCCUCGGCGCCGAGCUUGGGGGUGGCCCUCGGGUCAUCCCCCCUGACCGUGCAAGCGGUCCGGAGCCAGCCCGCCGGCGGCCCACUAAACUCUUGUUUGUAUAACCUAUCUCUUCUGAGUAUUUCUUGUAGUAAUACAAAAUGAAUCAAAACUUUCAACAACGGAUCUCUUGGUUCUGGCAUCGAUGAAGAACGCAGCGAAAUGCGAUAAGUAAUGUGAAUUGCAGAAUUCAGUGAAUCAUCGAAUCUUUGAACGCACAUUGCGCCCGCUGGAAUUCCAGCGGGCAUGCCUGUUCGAGCGUCAUUUCAACCCUCAAGCCUAGCUUGGUGUUGGAGCACUACCCGUUAUACGGUAGGCUCUGAAAUUCAGUGGCGGGCUCGCUAAGACUCUGAGCGUAGUAGUUUACCACCUCGCUUUGGAAGGAUUAGCGGUGCUCUUGCCGUAAAACCCCCCAAUUUUUCUGAAUUUUGACCUCGGAUCAGGUAGGAAUACCCGCUGAACUUAAGCAUAUCAAUAAGCGGAGGAAAAGAAACCAACAGGGAUUGCCCUAGUAACGGCGAGUGAAGCGGCAACAGCUCAAAUUUGAAAUCUGGCUUCGGCCCGAGUUGUAAUUUGCAGAGGAUGUUUCUGGCGCGGUGCCUUCCGAGUUCCCUGGAACGGGACGCCACAGAGGGUGAGAGCCCCGUAUGGUUGGACACCAAGCCUGUGUGAAACUCCUUCGACGAGUCGAGUAGUUUGGGAAUGCUGCUCAAAAUGGGAGGUAAAUCUCUUCUAAAGCUAAAUACUGGCCAGAGACCGAUAGCGCACAAGUAGAGUGAUCGAAAGAUGAAAAGCACCUUGAAAAGGGGGUUAAACAGUACGUGAAAUUGUUGAAAGGGAAGCGUUUAUGACCAGACUUGUGCCGGGCGGCUCAUCCGGGGUUCUCCCCGGUGCACUCCGCCCGGCUCAGGCCAGCAUCGGUUCUCGUUGGGGGAUAAGAACGGUAGGAACGUGGCCCUCCCUCGGGAGGGUGUUAUAGCCUGCCGUACGAUACCCUGAUGGGGACCGA
This 1113-nucleotide ribosomal RNA is filed under the name Harknessia sp. CCG-2012. RNAcentral describes it as "eukaryotic LSU rRNA". The stretch from base 534 to 1113 matches the Rfam family "Eukaryotic large subunit ribosomal RNA", at positions 1 to 593 of the family's 3401-position model. Lineage: Eukaryota; Fungi; Ascomycota; Sordariomycetes; Diaporthales; Harknessiaceae. The record is from RNAcentral.